UACUAUGAAUUUAUUUUACCAAACUCGAAAAUAUAUUAAUAUAUAAUAACAAUUAAUAAUAAAGUAAAAUGUAUAAAACAAAUUAUUAUACAUUAAUAAUAUCGAAUAAGAAACAUAACCAAUAACAUUAUAGAUUUACACAAUAUAUAACACUAAAAUGUAAAUUAUCUUUGAAAGUUUUGCGAUGGUAUCUGUUAUAUAUUUAUAAAAUGAAAAUCUACUCGCACGGAUGUGCGGAUGAAAAAUCUAGUUUAUUAUUGUUACAUUUCCACUAAAAAGAUGUUCACUAGUGUCUUAUCGAAAUUCAAGUAUAAUCUUUUUCUUUUUCACACUGAAACACAACAUUAAUGAAAGAAAUUCGGGAUAAACCGAUAUAAAGCCUUGGUUUGAGUUACAUAUUGGUGGGAACCUUUCCCUUACUUUCCCGUCUCUCACAUCUCUCUCAACAAAAGAAAAUCCUAAUUUGAUGUGUACGGCGGUCGGCGGCUGUUCAUCAUCACCGUCAACCUCCACUUUUUAUGUUUCUUUUGCUCAUUUCCCUCAUGUAUUCUUCCCACAUACGUGCAGUUCUGAACCGUCUGGGAUCUUUGCCGAAUGGUUCGAUCUUGAGCUUCUUUCAAGAUGCAGCAAGGAAACGGUGAAAUAGUGGAGGAGAGAGUCGUAUCUCCAUGCUCAACGACGGAUCUCCAUGCUCAACGACGAAUCUCCCUUCGUUUGGUGUUUGGAGGUGCUUCCUUCCAUCUCCUCCUCGAUUUUAGGUCCAUGUAGUGGCGAACCUCUAGGAGAGCUCAGCGGUUUCUGGUGCCUCGUCGGGUCAUAGGCUGGGGCUCUAUUUGAGGACGAUGGAGCCAAGACAAGACUUGCUGCUUAGUCAUCAGGAUCUGCUAGGGUUUGUAGAGUAAGAGUUGAGUCCGUUGAUGGCAAAGCAAACUGGGAGAUGGCGGUUCUUCUCGGGUUAUCUCUUCUCUAGCGCAGGAUCACCUUGAUUAGUUGAAGGAUGGGAGUACAAGGAGGGGAGUAAUUUUGAUGAGGCUACCACUUCAACAUCGAUUAACACCACAACUUCAGCAUCGAUCAACACCACGACCUUAGCAUCGAUUUACACACACUCCUGUGAUAUCACUUGAAAUCCCUGAAAGUUCGAGUUGUCCACAUGACAUUUCAGACUUGACAUUGGAGAGCACCGAUGAAUCAAGUUGCUAUCUUGCCUCAGAUGUACACAAAUAGAUCACCAUGGAAGAUUUCUUGGAGCUAGAAGAAUUCUUAGAACUAGAGGAUGGAGAAAAACUUAAAUAUUUGGAUACUGAUAGGGAAGUCACUGUGGAAGAAUUUUUGGAGCUGGAAGAAUGGCUUUACUCGGAGAUAAAGCUUGAUGACAAUCACCACACUACAGAAUUGAACUGGAGACUUCACUGAAAAGUAACAUCGAUCGCCACCCACCCAACAACACCAAAUAUCUGAUUGCAUCGAUCGACCACAUCCACCUGAUAUUGAUCGACACCCAUCGUUGUACGAGCUGCCAGAAUACACAGUUGAGCUGGAACCAAUUGAGGAAAUAAUGCACAACUCUGAGGCCUCACACCCUGCUCUGCACGAACAUCUGCGACCAUCUAUCCACGCUGAAGAAGCUGCUGGGUUUCACAAAAGAGUGAAGAGAAUUCAUGUCCUUGUGAAGAUUGUGGUCCCAUGCACUGUAUUUGAAGUUGAAUUUCCUAUCACACCAGAUAGAAGUGUGCAUUUGGGUUCUUACAAUGGGGUAUUUUAUGAUCAUAUGUAUGCAUUAGCUACUCAGAGAGGGUUGAGAUUUGGAGGUGAAAUCGACAAAGGCCCAAUAGAAGCAGCAUCGAUCGACACUUCCACUUCAUCGUCGAUCUACAGCGGACGCGUAUCAGAGCAGAAGGAGUUUAAAAUGUGACGAAAUAUUUUUUAUGGAGGGACCACCACGCAGCCAGACAAGUUUGUGGGAGAGAAGAGGAAAAAUUAGAAGAAGAGUAAAAGGACCAAGGGAGGUCCUUAGUUAUCAUUGAUUUCUCACUUCUCAUAUGGUGUCAGGAAAUUUAGAGUGCGCAGCAGAUUCUUCUCACAGCCAUUCGCAAAGCUUCGAGCACUCCUUAUGUCUGAAAUGAUCGACAAAGGAGAAGAGUCAAUGGAGGCUCACAAAAGAAGAGUGAUGAAUCUGAAGAAAAGAGACACUGAUAUUUGUUUUGGAGAAAAAGAUGAGGAACAGUGAAGACACUGUAGCAAAGGCACUAUAGAAGCAACACUGCACCAUCGAUCGACACUUUAGUAGAGAUACUGUUCAUCGGCAUAAAAAAAGAUCCAAGGAAGACGAGUUUCCACAAGAAACGACGAUGCCUAGCUAGCAUCGGUCGACAAAGCAUCAGUAGUAUCGACCGCCACUUAGUUGUGUUGAUCAACACUCACAUCAAAAUCAUGUAUACUGUCUUUCCUAGUUAAUAUUGUCUUUAUGAUUUAAUUUCCUACCAAUAUUAGAUUGCAUAACACUAGGAAAAAUAUUAUUUAAGUCCCGGGAGGUUCUACUGUUAUUGGGUUUUGUUUUGAGCUUUAGUUUUAUGAGUAUUUAUUUAGUUUUAUUGAGUCAAGAAGGGGAUGAUGAACUUUUUCAAUUUUA
Long non-coding RNA from Brassica rapa (field mustard), 2632 nucleotides. RefSeq lists it as uncharacterized. NCBI's taxonomy places the organism in Eukaryota, Viridiplantae, Streptophyta, Magnoliopsida, Brassicales, Brassicaceae. The record is from RefSeq and is a predicted model, not a curated record.